CAAAAUGCUGCAGCACGUGUCCUGACGAGAACAAAGAGAAGAGAGCACAUUUCUCCAAUAUUAGCAUCGCUACACUGGCUUCCAGUUAAAUCUAGAAUAGAAUUUAAAAUUCUCCUCCUCACCUUCAAGGCCCUUAAUAAUGUAGCGGGUCAGUUCUUAAUAAAGUUUUAUACUUUAAGCAGUGUCAUUUUCCCCGCUCUGGAUGUGUUAAUUAACCUGACAGGACGGCAACUCCUAUAGGCUGCGGGGAGGCGGAGGAGUUUAUUUAGGGACACCUUAGCACUCUCCCUCGUCCUCUCUCUCUCUCUCCCCACUGCCGGUCCUGUGGGUGUGUGCGGACGUUUAGCGUGAGCGCAGCACGUGUGGUCGCAAUUGUUUGUCACGAUCCGCACCAUGGAUUGCGGUCUGUGGAUCGCGCACCGGGGGUCGCGGUGUUGGAUCCAGUGUGGCGGAUUCUGAGUCAUGUGGGCUGAUCGUUGUGUCACGUUGGCAUUGGGCACAGGCGGUGAUGGGUCCUGGUGGGCGGCGGUGGACGGUGACUGAGGACUGGAGUGGCAUCUGGUCUGGAUGGUGGAUCGUGGUCUAGAUGGUUGCUGAGCAUGGACUGUGCUUGCAGCGGGACUGCUUGGUGUAUACCAUCUUUCUGAUGACUCUGCUGGCCAAGGACAGCUCACUACCUCAUCUGAAGCUCAUUCCCUGAUCACCAGCAGAUAUCUACCCUGGUCGGGCUCCUAGUCAUCGCCAGUUUGUGCUUGAUACCACAGUGAUCCAUUCCCUGGUUCUCCUGGCUUCCUUACUUGAGGACUGGAUUCUGUGAGCGAACCGUUCGCUCUCCACCACCUUAUUUCAUCCUCAUGCCAUAUUCUGUUCAAACAAUAAAUUACUGUUUACUUUCCAGUAAACAGUACUAUGUGUCUCUGUCUCUGCGCUGGGGUCCAAAGAUACUCUGAAUGUAACAGGAAACAACACAAAAAAAAUCAUUAAGCAUGUCAAAGGAAGAGGUUGAAGAUCUUCUGAGAACCAUCUACACUGAUAGUGGAAAGAUGUACUGAUACUUGUCCCUGCUGACAUUCAACCAAUCUCCCCCCCCUCCAACAUCAAUUUGACAUCAGACCUCCCAAGCUGAGUGUGGUAAAAAAGGUAGUGAGGAAGGCAAGAUCGGCAUUCGGGCCAGACCCUUGUGGUAGCCUAUUGUAUUUGAGAUUCCGUUGGAGAAACAUGUGUGGGAGAGCAAGUUAUCCCCAAAACCUGGCUAAGAGCUGGAGGAAUGCUGUUCCCAUAAUAAUGAAUCCAUCAUCAUUAAUGACAAGUCAUCAUUAGCCAUGUAAAGGUCAUAGACUCAACAAUGAAGGGAGAACAAGAGAAGGGUGGAGCAGUCAGGAAAAAGAGACAGAUCCAGUAGAUGGCGGUAAUGCACCUUAAAUAUGUGUUGCCAUUGCCACCCACCAAUAAACCAACCAGAAGAAGAAGCCUCAACAAUACACCAUGUGUCAUAGCCCGGCUCAUGACUGUGGCAUGGAGGGAGACGACACGGGUGAACUGUGGCUCUUUUAGAACAUUUAUUUAACAGAACAAACUACAAACAAAGUCUCCAAAGACAAAACAGAAAAGGAUGGUAGCGUCCGGGAGAGCCAACCUCGCCCCAUAGGCAGUGCGAAAGAGAGAGCGCGAGACAAAUCUGCCAGCCCUUUUAAAGGGCAGAGCACACGUGGCCGAGGUAUGCUCUGAUUCACCCUGACGCCCACUCCACCUGUGAAUGGAAGAAGAGGGACACCUAGUGUCCAGGUGAGGGUGGAAGGGGUCGUCACACAUGCCACAGCAGACACAUAAAAACAGGGAAAAUAUCAUCUAACAUUGAGUGCAAACCAUAGUGCAAAUCAUCAUCCAUGAUCUUUCACAAUGGAUUUUGUGAAUGUGUCAGGGAUUUUAAAGAUUACAACUUAAAUAAUUUAAAAAAAGUGUUUUUCUGUAGAUCUGCCAAAUCACAGGGAAUACAGGUGAGCAGCAUGGCCAAAGACAUGGAAACAAAAAAGUGUGGAGAACACUAAUGGCUCCCCAUUAAGUUUAAUAUCAGCACAAACUACAACCUUGUAGGAGUCGAGGGAAUAACACAGUCCGGAGAUCUUCUCGUUUUGUGCGCCUCUCGGCGUGUGUUUAUUUUGACAAACAAUUCACCCACAGAGAACUCCGGGCGCCACCAAAACAUCAGCUUUUAACAACCCCCAGUGCACUUGUUACCUUGGUAACCCCACAGCUCCUUGCCGGGUGUGUAAGUAUGCGAACCACAUUAGUGUAAACCGUCUUUGGUGAAUUCUGUAUUCUCACCUGUCCCCUACAACUUUGUGUUUAUGUGUAAACUGAAUUAAAAACAUCUUUGUCUCCCUGUUGCUCCCACAGCUAUGUUGUUAUCAAAAGGGGUUGGGGAAAGCAAGUGCGUUCUCCAGAUGAACUAUUCGAUUUGGAGCAGAGAUUUCUUUAUUCCCUGACCCCUUGGCUAUUAGCUAUUGCUUUGGUGAGUACAAUAUUAGGAUCCCCAAAAAACUGAAAUACUAAGGUCAAGACUACGUUUCAUAUGUAGUGAUAGCAGUCAUUGGACUGUUGCUGUGCUACUUACAGUGUUCUUGUUUGUAGAUGAUGCAAAAGUAGCUGAAUUUGUGUAGAGUGUAUAAAUCUAUGUCUUAGAAUAUAUAUUUAUUUGUUUAGGAGGAUGGAAGCAAUUAAAGUGUAAGUUAAAUUUUCAAACCUCUCCAGACCUUUUACAUAAAUGUGUCACUUAUAUCUCUAUGUGUCUGUGGUGGGAAAUUCCACUGACCAGUGUCUAAGGUGAUGGAAAAUUCCACUAACUAGGUGUCUCAGUGCUGUGACCUUGACGAAAUGGGUGAUGUUUUCCUCCAGCUGCUACAGCGGACGUACACAGCAGAUAGACACAGAUGAUGAUUUCAUGUCUUUUUUUCAUAUUAUGUUUUAUGAAACGCCUCUUUGUGUAAGUUCUGGCUUUUGUGAACUUGGGGCCAGUUCCACUUUGAGCACCUGUGCUUGUUGUGUAACAUCU
Long non-coding RNA from Platichthys flesus (European flounder), 3052 nucleotides. RefSeq lists it as uncharacterized. Lineage: Eukaryota; Metazoa; Chordata; Actinopteri; Pleuronectiformes; Pleuronectidae. The record is from RefSeq and is a predicted model, not a curated record. The transcript is spliced from 4 exons.